Molecule: long non-coding RNA, 1176 nt
Filed under: Anser brachyrhynchus (Pink-footed goose)
Lineage: Eukaryota; Metazoa; Chordata; Aves; Anseriformes; Anatidae
Description: lncRNA (ENSABRG00000002300.1)
Source: RNAcentral
CCCAAACCCCCCUGGGAUCCCUUCAAGGUUAGAGGAUAUGCAGUAUACGCACCUCAAAGAAAAUGCAAGUUCAUUAUCUUCACCCUUUUAUUCACACCUUGUCCUUGCCUGUUGCCUCUCUUGCAGCUGCUUUUUGCUCUGGACCUUGGUCUUCAGUCCCUGCCUGCACAAUGUAGCUGUGCGGACAUCACUGGCAAAAUACUAAUGGUGGUAACACCUGGUGGUCCUACUUGUCUUCCAAAGAUACAUUUCUGGUAUGACAUGUUCCCAACUUGCUGCGUAGCAAUGACUGGAUGGGUGCUCAUGAAGGAGAUGUCUCAUUUCUCAUUUGUGGCUGGGAAGUCACCAGGACGCUUUCCUGAAGGACAUGUAGCCAGCUCUGCUCGCCUGGCGCGGCACUGUCCCAGCCCAGGCCAGAGACCCCUGUUCCCAGAGAAGAAUGUGCCCAAAAGAGAAGAGCUGGUCACUUGGGAAGAACUGCCUUUUGCAGUGGCUGACAGGUAGGUGGUUUCUGUUAUCCGCGCAUGCAAAUCAGGGGCUCGAGCUGUUUUUACCAUCAUAGUAGCUGUAUGUUGGCUUCAUGCUUAUUCACCGUCACUGAUACACUUACCUCUUUCUUUUCUUUAAGUCACAGAGACCAUUUGUGUCCCAAGGCCCGAACUCUGUCAUCUUUUGCCCCAUGUAGAAGGACAGCGGUAUGGAGCUGACUGUGACAUAUUACAAAUGAAUGGUAUAAAAAGCACUGACCAGAGCCCAUUUCCUGGUUCACGGCUCAAGUUCCACAUCUCCAGACCUUUUUGUAAGAGGCUAUGAGCAUUCAAAGAACUAAGCAGUUGCUGAAGCCUCAUUUCCUAUUUCAAACUGCACUGAGAGAACUACACUAAGAUGUCACCCCCCUCUGCAGGCCCAGCUCACUGUGUAGCUGGACAUGCCCCUCAGUUGUGGCAGCGUGCUAGUACUAAUGAUGCGCAGACCAGAAUACCUGGGAAGGGAAGAGGCGCAUGGGAUUCCUGCACUUGUCUGAAGGGUCCAAGAGACCUGACCUGCUUCCCAAUUAAAGAUGGUAGAAGACUUUUAAGGGUUAAAUUUAGACACGUGUUUCUAUCCUGGUUCCUGGGGAAGAGUUUACAUUCCUGGUGUAAAGAGAUUAAUAAAUGUUAAUUACUGCCUGGUUCA